RNAcentral lists this ribosomal RNA (253 nucleotides) under uncultured bacterium. Its description in RNAcentral is "partial 16S ribosomal RNA". It matches the Rfam family "Bacterial small subunit ribosomal RNA", at positions 524 to 776 of the family's 1533-position model. The record is from RNAcentral.
UACGAAGGGGGCUAGCGUUGCUCGGAAUCACUGGGCGUAAAGGGUGCGUAGGCGGGUUUUUAAGUCAGAGGUGAAAUCCUGGAGCUCAACUCCAGAACUGCCUUUGAUACUGAAAGUCUUGAGUACGGGAGAGGUGAGUGGAACUGCGAGUGUAGAGGUGAAAUUCGUAGAUAUUCGGAAGAACACCAGUGGCGAAGGCGGCUCACUGGACUGGUAUUGACGCUGAGGUGCGAAAGCGUGGGGAGCAAACAGG